UGUGAUAGUUGUCUUAUUCUCC
This 22-nucleotide microRNA is filed under the name Saccoglossus kowalevskii. RNAcentral describes it as "sko-miR-4841". Lineage: Eukaryota; Metazoa; Hemichordata; Enteropneusta; Harrimaniidae. The record is from miRBase by way of RNAcentral.